RNAcentral lists this ribosomal RNA (126 nucleotides) under Triticum aestivum (bread wheat). RNAcentral's name for it is "partial small subunit ribosomal RNA". The record is from RNAcentral. Lineage: Eukaryota; Viridiplantae; Streptophyta; Magnoliopsida; Poales; Poaceae.
GCCGCGCGGACGCGUACCCCCUCUACCACAAAUUAUGACGUCCACUCUCCCAUUUGGGGAGAUGGUAAGCCAGCACACCCACCAAGUGCAAUGUGGACCACUAGCCUAGGCCACGACUCUUCUUGA